RNAcentral lists this ribosomal RNA (497 nucleotides) under uncultured bacterium. RNAcentral's name for it is "partial 16S ribosomal RNA". It matches the Rfam family "Bacterial small subunit ribosomal RNA", at positions 28 to 507 of the family's 1533-position model. The record is from RNAcentral.
GAUGAACGCUGGCGGCGUGCCUAAUACAUGCAAGUCGAGCGAACAGAUGAGGAGCUUGCUCCUCUGACGUUAGCGGCGGACGGGUGAGUAACACGUGGAUAACCUACCUAUAAGACUGGGAUAACUUCGGGAAACCGGAGAUAAUACCGGAUAAUAUAUUGAACCGCAUGGUUCAAUAGUGAAAGACGGUUUUGCUGUCACUUAUAGAUGGAUCCGCGCCGCAUUAGCUAGUUGGUAAGGUAACGGCUUACCAAGGCAACGAUGCGUAGCCGACCUGAGAGGGUGAUCGGCCACACUGGAACUGAGACACGGUCCAGACUCCUACGGGAGGCAGCAGUAGGGAAUCUUCCGCAAUGGGCGAAAGCCUGACGGAGCAACGCCGCGUGAGUGAUGAAGGUCUUCGGAUCGUAAAGCUCUGUUAUUAGGGAAGAACAAAUGUGUAAGUAACUAUGCACGUCUUGACGGUACCUAAUCAGAAAGCCACGGCUAACUACGUG